GGCAGGCCACCGCCCAAUCGUCGCGAGACGAACCGGGGAACCAGGUCACUGGGGUGUAUCCGCAGUUGCGGUAGGGAUUGCUUCCGUCCCGAACCCGUCAGCUAACUCGGUCGGCGGAGUCACGGAAGGAACU
Molecule: small RNA, 133 nt
Filed under: Actinoplanes derwentensis
Lineage: Bacteria; Bacillati; Actinomycetota; Actinomycetes; Micromonosporales; Micromonosporaceae
Description: c-di-AMP sequence
Rfam family: c-di-AMP riboswitch aptamer (ydaO/yuaA leader)
About the family: This family represents a conserved RNA structure found upstream of the ydaO and yuaA genes in Bacillus subtilis and related genes in other bacteria. The ydaO/yuaA element is thought to act as a genetic "off" switch for the ydaO and yuaA genes in its native state.
Source: Rfam by way of RNAcentral